Long non-coding RNA from Daktulosphaira vitifoliae (grape phylloxera), 406 nucleotides. RefSeq lists it as uncharacterized. The transcript has 2 exons. The record is from RefSeq and is a predicted model, not a curated record. NCBI's taxonomy places the organism in Eukaryota, Metazoa, Arthropoda, Insecta, Hemiptera, Phylloxeridae.
UUUUCAAAGAGCAAUUUGUUUCGUGGUAAAUUAACUGAGGAGGCCUUAGAUAAAAUAAUCAAAAAAUGUAAAGUUGAGAAUGAUAACAUCAGUUAUAAAGAGAUGAUAAAAACCAUUACCGAUGGCUGUGUAGAAGAAGAAUUAUAUUCAAUUUGGAUAUUAAAAUCAACAGAUAAUACAUUAACAACUCCUACACAAUAAUAAUAAUAAUAUAGUUAAACUCAUUAAAAAUUGUUCUAUAAUAUAAAUUAUGGAAACUAUUAAAUUUAUUAAUAAGUGUUUAAAUUUAUUUAUAUCAAAUUAUGUUUCAUUUGUAAUAGUGACAGAUCUGUUUUAUUCUGCCGUUAGGCUAUAUGUAUCACAUUUAUACAAAUAUAAUGACUUUAAUAUAUUUUUUUGAGAAAAA